GAUGAAGAACGUAGCGAAAUGCGAUACGUAAUGUGAAUUGCAGAAUUCAGUGAAUCAUCGAAUCUUUGAACGCAUAUUGCGCUCUCUGGUAUUCCGGAGAGCAUGCUUGUUUGAGUAUCAGUAAACACCUCAACUCCCCUUUCUUUUUUUGAAAUGGGAGCUGGACUUGAGUGAUCCCAACGCUUUUCUCACCGAAAAGUGGCGGGUUACUUGAAAUGCAGGUGCAGCUGGACUUUUCUCUGAGCUAAAAGCAUAUCUAUUUAGUCUGCCUAAAAAACAGAUUAUUACCUUUGCUGCAGCUAACAUAAAGGAGAUUAGUUCUUGUGCUGACUGAUGCAGGAUUCACAGAGACAGCUUCGGCUGGCCUCUGUAAACUCGAUCUCAAAUCAAGUAAGACUACCCGCUGAACUUAAGCAUAUCAAUAAGCGGAGGA
This 433-nucleotide unclassified non-coding RNA is filed under the name soil metagenome. RNAcentral describes it as "partial contains 5.8S ribosomal RNA, internal transcribed spacer 2, and large subunit ribosomal RNA". The stretch from base 1 to 120 matches the Rfam family "5.8S ribosomal RNA", at positions 35 to 154 of the family's 154-position model. The record is from RNAcentral.